UUUCAGUUAGAAAAUUUUCUGAAAAUCAGGUACCCAUUUGGGGAAGAAUAAAGAUAGCACCAAGGAAGUGGUCUUUGAACCAGGGUUGCCCCCAACAUAAUAAGCUUCCAAUGGAGGAAGUUGAUCCCCAGCAGACAGAACAAAGAGAUGACAUUUGUGCUUAGAAAAGCAAAGAGCCAUUAUCCUCCCAGUAGUUUCCAGAAGAAUGAAGCAUCGAUUUGAAGGGAUAAAAUUCCCCAACAGCGUUAUCCUCAACAACGUUAUCCCAAGAAGAUAAAACUUUUAUCCCCAGCAGUGUUAAGAAAAAAAAACAACAAAAAAAAAUUUGAAUUUGAAGGAUGGAAAGAAAGGAGACUCCCCAGUGGUAUUAUCCCCAGCAAUCAGGCAUCCAUCUGGAGAACAAGGAAGAGCAACGGAAGUAUUAGAAGUCAGGCGUCCACCUGGAGAACAAGGAUGAGUAAUGGAAGUAUUAGCAAUCAGGCGUCCACCUGGAGAACAAGGAAGAGCAAUGAAAGAAACAGCAAUCAGGCAUCCACCUGGAGAACAAGGAUGAGUAGUUGAAGUAUUAGUAAUCAGGCAUCCACCUGGAGAACAAGGAAGAGCAAUGAAAUAUCAGAAAUCAGGCGUCCACCUGGAGAACAAGGAAGAGCAAUGAAAGAAACAGCAAUCAGGCAUCCACCUGGAGAACAAGGAUGAGUAGUUGAAGUAUUAGUAAUCAGGCAUCCACCUGGAGAACAAGGAAGAGCAAUGAAAUAUCAGAAAUCAGGCAUCCACCUGGAGAACAAGGAAGAGCAAUGAAAGAAACAACAAUCAGGCGUCCACCUGGAGAACAAGGAUGAAGAAAAGAAAUAGCAAUCAUCUGGAGAACAAGGAUGAAGAAUUGAAUUAACAGUCAGGCGUCCACGUGGAGAACAAGGAAGAACAGUUGAAAUAUCAGAAGUCAGGCGUCCACCUGGAGAACAAGGAAAAGCAUCAAAACUGGGGCAGAAGAUUUUCUGCCAUGGUCGAAAAUUUUCUCAGAAGAACAAGGAAAUCAAUUCAAGUUUUAAGAGAUAGCAAGACAACAAGAGUUGGAGAAA
This 1079-nucleotide long non-coding RNA is filed under the name Nicotiana tabacum (common tobacco). RNAcentral's name for it is "long non-coding RNA (NTAB_LNC013630)". Lineage: Eukaryota; Viridiplantae; Streptophyta; Magnoliopsida; Solanales; Solanaceae. The record is from RNAcentral.